AGAGUCGUGACUUCUCAGUAUAAAACAGUGGCUGACCAGGAGAUGUCAGUCACUACACGGGUUCAGUGUGGCAACUUCUGACGUUAGGUCGAUACUCAUCAGUGACGACUAAACCAGUGGGGCAAUGAUGGCCAGGUUACGUAGCAGUCGCACUACUUUCUAAGAGUCGAGGUCAUUGGCUCUGUGAAAUACGGAUCGCCCAUCAUGACCGGUUGCUUAAGGAUGACUCCCACAUCAUAUAGUUUUCUGCUCUUCAAUACACUUGUUGCUCUGAUAACCAACGAGGCGAACGCUCUGUCACAUUUUCGUUGCAACGUGAAGACCAGCGACAGACUGUUCUUUCCAGAUCAAUUAGAAUAUCUCCAAGUUUGGGCAUCCCACUGCGCUUGUGAUGACCUCAUAUACUGGCCACCUAACAACAGGUGUUAUAAGGAGUCGACGCAAGGACCAUGUUCUAUUGGGCGUAUUCUGGUAUUUGAUAGAACGAAGAUUGAGCCACGGUGUGAGACUAGCUCCGAGCAGUAACACCAAGGACUUCUCUCCCGGUUUUGUAUGGGAAAAGUGCCAUUUCAUUUAUUAAAAAUCAAUAAAAAAUUACAUAUACUCCGUGUUUUAUAAAUCUGCAGGGUCUGUGAACGUACAAAAGAAAGCGCGUAAUAAAUUUGUACAUUCUGUGCAUAAUUUUCGGAGUCGUCGUUAUUGUAAUUUGUAUACAGGUACCUACUAAAUGUAUUAAAAUCUUCAGAUUUAAGUAAGAUCACUUAACGUUAACAUA
Molecule: long non-coding RNA, 775 nt
Organism: Zootermopsis nevadensis
Lineage: Eukaryota; Metazoa; Arthropoda; Insecta; Blattodea; Termopsidae
Source: RefSeq, a predicted model, not a curated record